This is a long non-coding RNA of Homo sapiens (human), 598 nucleotides long. RefSeq lists it as uncharacterized. NCBI's taxonomy places the organism in Eukaryota, Metazoa, Chordata, Mammalia, Primates, Hominidae. The record is from RefSeq and is a predicted model, not a curated record. The transcript has 2 exons.
UUCUGUGGUUUCUACAUGAUUCAGCAUCCCAAAGAUAGCAAGGAAUCCUAAAAGACUGAACAGAGAAGCAGUCAGCGGAUGGGCUCUAGUCUAACACUGUGGAAACAGAAUUGGAAGUCAAAUACGUGCCAAAAUGUAAUGCUGAUAGCAUGUACAUUCAAAGAACAUAUAUAGCAACCACACUUCAGUGCUGAUUGGGCAGGGUUUCCAUAGCAAUAUGAUUUAUUUCCAGUAGAAUUUUUCAACUGAAAAGAGUAAGCUUCCCCUCAUUAAAAGAAAUAAAUAAAAAGUUCAUCAAUAUUUAUUUUUCCAUUAUACACAGAUCAUAAUGCCUGGUUAUGGCAAAAAGACCGCAAUUCCCACCAGAGAGCAAAAAGGAAGUAAAGCUACCAUUGUUGAUCUGAAACUAAAUGGAUUCUUGUCCGUUGUGAGGAGCAGCAGCCUACAAAGCACACUGAAUGCCAAAUGUGUUGCACCAGGGCUACAGACACACCCAGAUGUUUUUAAUCUAUGCAAAAUAAUGAUGGAUACUUGCUACCUUCUUCAACUAAUUUUCAAGAUGUAUUUAUAUAAAAUAAAAGAGUCUUUUAAAGCACAA